UGAUAAAGCCAUGAUUUAUUUCCAAUGUUUUUACAAAUCUGUUUUCAUGUCUGUACAAAGUGCGGACAAACAUCCAUACUUGGUUGACAUCACAUUGAGACAUCAAAUUAGAAAUGGGGGUGUGGGGGCGUGGAAGUGGUGCUCCUAUAAAUAUGAAAGUAAAUAAUCAUAACAUUGUGGCUGCAGACCAGUAACCACCACUGUAACCUUGCUAUCACCAUCCAAUAGUGUAAGCCUACUGGUUCGAGCAGAAACAUUUGACUAGAAACAAAGACAAUAAGUAGAACUUGGAGGCGAGGCCUGCAGGCAAUAGCCUCAUUCAAUCCAGUGUACCGCCACAUCUCUCUAAUACAUACAUCCCAGAACAUAAAGAAGACAGACACAUUGAACGCCAAGAGAUGCAAUUCUCUUUUCUCAUGGUUAAAUGCAUUGACCUAAAUAAGACCAUUCCAUCACGUUAUAACAUCAACCAGUACAGCAGAAAGCGGUCCAUUGGACCUAACACUUUUCUAUGGUAUUUCAGAAUCUGACAAUUACAUAUAUAAAUCACAACAAAAUGACCAGUGGCUACAAUUCAAAAAGUGGAAUCAUCUUCAAAGUCGUACAAACACGUUUCACCAUUAGUUGAUCAUGUAUAUGAAAGUAAUUCCUAGUCCAGCACUGAUACUAGUUGACAGCCCUGCAGACACUGUGUAUCAACACUAUUGGACUAUCCAAUGGUAUGUCUGGUAACGAGAAGAGAAUGGUGUAAGUCCAAACAAGUGAUGGGCGAGCAACAAAUGAAAAGGGGGGGGGGGGGGG
This is a non-coding RNA of Biomphalaria pfeifferi, 801 nucleotides long. The record is from the annotation of a GenBank genome assembly. Lineage: Eukaryota; Metazoa; Mollusca; Gastropoda; Planorbidae.